GUGGGGAAUAUUGGACAAUGGGCGAAAGCCUGAUCCAGCCAUGCCGCGUGUGUGAAGAAGGUCUUCGGAUUGUAAAGCACUUUAAGUUGGGAGGAAGGGCAGUAAGUUAAUACCUUGCUGUUUUGACGUUACCAACAGAAUAAGCACCGGCUAACUUCGUGCCAGCAGCCGCGGUAAUACGAAGGGUGCAAGCGUUAAUCGGAAUUACUGGGCGUAAAGCGCGCGUAGGUGGUUCAGCAAGUUGAAGGUGAAAUCCCCGGGCUCAACCUGGGAACUGCCGCCAAAACUGCUGAGCUAGAGUACGGUAGAGGGUAGUGGAAUUUCCUGUGUAGCGGUGAAAUGCGUAGAUAUAGGAAGGAACACCAGUGGCGAAGGCGACUACCUGGACUGAUACUGACACUGAGGUGCGAAAGCGUGGGGAGCAAACAGGAUUAGAAACCCGUGUAGUCC
Molecule: ribosomal RNA, 450 nt
Filed under: uncultured bacterium
Lineage: Bacteria
Description: partial 16S ribosomal RNA
Rfam family: Bacterial small subunit ribosomal RNA
Source: RNAcentral